UUUUUUUUUUUUUUUUUUAAACUCAAGCUGCUUAUUUAAAUAAUCUCCUCACCAUCACUUUCUAACCUACUGUGGCUAUCUAUAACUUGUAGUGAGAAUUCCAUACCGCUCCAAGUGCUUCUAAAGUCCUUUGUGAGUAUCUGGAACCUGAAACCUUUCCCAGAUAUUGAGUGCGUAGCUAAUAUGUACUCUGGGAUUGUUUUUUUAAAUCAGUAGUUGCAGUAACUUGGUCUUAUAUGAUAAAUCCAUAGAGAGAAAGAACUGAUUUGUUUUAUAAGUCAUCAAUGAACAUAGCUCAAUAGUUUGUUUAAUGACUUUACAAGUUGUGGGAGAAUGACCAUUGUGAAUAAGUUAUGUUAAUGUGGAAAAAAAUUGAGAGGCAGAUACUGAAUUGGCCACAAGAGCUUUGAUCACUAGUUUUGAUCAUUGCACAUGAUAAACUUUGUCAAACAUUUCAUGUGACUGGAUCGUUAUAGUUAAAGUGCAUUUCAUACAACCAUCAUACACUUGCUUCUUUCUAAGUAAUUAAAAGUCCCAACAGUCUCUGGGAUGUGUUUAGAUCAUUUAUAUUUAUUGUAAUUACUAAAGACUAUAGAUAUACCAUUGUUACUGUUUUCUGUAUUUCUUCUACUUUUGCUCCUCUUCCCUUUUCUUUCUUACUUUAUAUUAUUGGAAUCAUUUUAGUGUUCUAAUUUAGCUUAUGUAUGGAUCUUUGAUCCCCUUUGAAAAGAACUUUUGGUGGAUAUUCUAGGACUCAUGCUAUGCAUUUUCGGUGUACAUAGGGUUAAUUUUGCACUGCUCCAAGUGAAAGGUGGAGAUGUAAAGCAAAAGGCGAAAGGUAGAAACAUAAAGUAAAAGGUAGAUUUCGUGGUUCUCUCCCACCCAUCUGUGUAAGACACGUGUGUUGUAUCUGCCUAUCCCAAGAAACCCAAUGACCGCUGUUAGCAAUCAUAGGCAUUUUCAAGAAAUCAGAGAAAACCACUCGUUAAUUUGCAUUUCUACUGUAGUUCUCUCCAAGAUGUGAAAAAUGCUAUGUCUUCUGGUGUUCUUUUUUUCUUUUUUGACCCUGAAGCGUUUUGUAGGGUUGUAGGGUUGUAGGCCCCCCAUCAGCUCCGCCACAGGGCACAGCUGCUUGGGGAGGCUGAACAAGGGGAGUUUGACUGCGCUUAUCCCACACCUUCCCGGGGCGGGUGUUGGGAAGCACUGAGACAACCACUUGGGAGUGGGAAAGCACAGACUGAGCCCUGGCAAAGCUGGAGCUGGUUGGGGGCCCCAGGUAUGCAACAGGACUGGGGUCAUGGGGUUCUUAGGCUCUUGAACAUCCAGGUACCUUGGGAGUCAUGGAAAAGCAGAGAACAGAGUUGGGGGCCUGUGGGCCAGGGACAGCAUCUAGCCAGGUGCCAGGGGUAAAGGAAAGCCCUGGCUUGUCCAUUGGGGAAGAUUGUCCUUAGCUUGGCAGAUGCAGGCUUGGUGGCAGUUGUGGCUAGGAGCCCAGAGAGACCUUCUAGGGAGAUUAGGCUGUGGCUCUGUAGGCAAAGGCCUUCUUCAUGGCUCACCAUAGCAGAUCUUGGUGAAAAGAGACAGCCUAGGGUUGUAAACAGUUUAUUGUCAUGGCAGAAAGUGGAUGUAUAAAACUCUACCUUUGCAGGGAGGAAUGUGUGGAAAAAGAAGUUUAUUGGGAUGUCCUCUGGGCCUCUAGCGACCUCAUUAGCUUAGAGAACUCUGUUUUGGGUCUUUGUGACAGUGGUCAUGUCUCUUUUCCUAUUGUCUUGAUCUAAGAUGUUAGGGGUGCCUCAUCUACAUGUGGAAGGGCUUGGGGCAUUGCCUCUACAUGACUGAUGGCCACAAAUCUCUGUAUGGGUGUGUGUGGGGCUGUGGCUACCUGACAAGUGCCUGGUGAGAGGGACAGAGGAAGCUCCUACUGUCCUUCAGGGUUUCUUAGGGCUUCUGCUUCUCAAAUGCUGAAGUCACAGGUGUGUGCCACCAUGCCUUGCUUCUUUUUCUUCCCCUUUCUUUUCACUUUUUAACAUUUCAAAUAAGGCUCUUGAGUUGCACCUACACAAUUAUCCAUAACUCUUUCAUUGUUUCCUCUAGGUUGUUUUUUGCUUAUUCAUUACACAAGUAACAUUUUACUCACAGAACGAUCUAAGGUAGUAGUUUCUUUUCACUGGUUUGUGAGAUGUAUAUUGGACCCUUAGGAAGGCCAUCCCUUAGAUUGUUAAACAAUCUACAUAAAGCUUUUUAAAAGGUAUUUAAGAUGAUGUCAGUUUAUGAACACUUACAGAGAACCAAAUCGUAAACUUUUAUUUCAAAUUAAAAACAAAGCUCUUAAACGUAUUAGCUUGUUCAAUUUUUAAAAAAAGAUUUAUUAUAUGUAAGUACACUGUAGCUGUCUUCAGACACUCCAGAAAGGGCAUCCGAUCUCAUUACGGAUGGUUGUGAGUCACCAUGUGGUUGUUAGAUUUGAACUCAGGACCUUCGGAAGAGUAGUCAGGGCUUUUAACCUGCUGAGCCAUCUCUCCAGCCCCAGCUUGUUCAAAUUUUAAACAAUUUAAAACCUUUUAAAAGUAUGUUGAGAAGAGCCAGGCAGAGUGACACAUGCCUUGAAAUCCCAGCAGUAGAGACACUGAUAUAAAUAUAAAUAUAAUAGUAUUAUAUUAUUAUAUAUUACAUUACUGUAUUAUAAUUAUUUAUAUAUUUAUAUGGAUAAAUAUAUCACAUAUUUAUAUAAAAUAUGAAGUAAUCAUAAUCACUAGACUAUAUUAUUAUAUAGUAUAUUACUACAAUAAUAAUUAUAAAAGUAAUAUAGUACUAAGUAAGGCAGGUUUCUAGGUAAACAGUGUAAAUAUAUGUGUCACUUAGAGGAAACAGAUGUUUCUUGUCCUCCACGUUGACCUGUUGUCUAGGCUCUGUGAUGUGUGGUUCUGGGCAAUCAUGGUUUAGAACAGCGAUACACACCUCAUGUCUUUGCCUUCUGUUGCUUUCUCUUGACGGUACAUGUAAGAGUUUCCUGUCUGAGAAUAUGGGAACCUUUGUUUACAGGAGGACUGACAAUUGGGGGCCUAGUCUUUGGGACAUUUCUCCUGAACCUCCUUCUUUUAUUAUAUUUUUAAUUCUUCUGGAAAUUGCAAGGCUGACUGCUACUUCAACGAAAAGGUCCAAUUGUCUUAGCUUAUUGUCUGCUGCCUUGAACUGGAACUCCAACAGUGGGAUAGCAUUUGCUGCCUUCAACUCUCUCAGUCGGCCACAACAAAUUCCACCUUCUUACCUAUACACAAAAGGAAUUUGGGGUUAGUGUUCAUGUUGUAAAAGGAAAAUGUUUAAAAGCCAUCUCCUUUCUAUCCCUUCCCCCUCCCUAGAGCGUUCAGCAUUGAGUCAAAAGUAAAGUGUUUUAUUGAAAGAAAAACAACAAGCAAAAGGAAAUCACCUGUUUUGUUUUGUUGUUUUGUUUUGUUUCUUCAUUUGCUCAAGGAGCAGAAAGACUAGUCAUCACUGUAAAAUCGUAAGUCCAGUUUCCCUUACAAGUUCUGCUUGUUCUUGGACAGUCCUGGCCUCAAGAUCCAUUUACAGAAGCAAAGGUUAUCUGUUAAAUGACAAAGGUAUCC
RNAcentral lists this long non-coding RNA (3605 nucleotides) under Mus musculus (house mouse). RNAcentral's name for it is "long non-coding RNA chr2:68891365-68894970". Lineage: Eukaryota; Metazoa; Chordata; Mammalia; Rodentia; Muridae. The record is from RNAcentral.